AUUGAGGCCCAGGAAUUUGCAUUUUAGAGAUACCUUCAGGGAACUCAGUCCAGAAAAUCUGAAUUAGGAUGCUCAUUGUGAUCCCAUAUGAUGUUUUGGAGUGCUUAACACUUGAGGAUAUCUUAUCAUUAGAAACUAGGAAGAAUUGGGACCCAUAUCAAGUAAUUUUUGGUGUUCACAAAGAAAGAUCGUUUUAUCUGAACAAAGUUUUCUGGCAUCAGCAACGCAAUGGGAGAACUCAAAAGAUUCUCUCCUGAGGCUUUCUGCGCCGAGAAGCAUUGCACUGCUAUAUUCCACAUUCUGCAGACUGCGAGCUCAGUUCUGAAGCAGACUGUACGAACUCUACUUGAUUUAAGUAGAAGAUACAUGUGCUGGUGUUAUUCAUGAUGAUUAUUGUUAAACUCCAAG
RNAcentral lists this long non-coding RNA (408 nucleotides) under Vulpes vulpes (red fox). Its description in RNAcentral is "lncRNA (ENSVVUG00000022135.1)". Lineage: Eukaryota; Metazoa; Chordata; Mammalia; Carnivora; Canidae. The record is from RNAcentral.